GUUGGCCGGUGAAGAAAACCUCGAUUAAAAACACCAUCUUUCGGGGCUGAUCGGCCGCCGCUCGGCGGCCAUGCUGCCAUUCUGCAAUUCUGAGGCCAAC
Molecule: small nucleolar RNA, 100 nt
Filed under: Oryza sativa (Asian cultivated rice)
Lineage: Eukaryota; Viridiplantae; Streptophyta; Magnoliopsida; Poales; Poaceae
Description: Z125b small nucleolar RNA
Rfam family: Small nucleolar RNA SNORD96 family
About the family: snoRNA Z37 is a member of the C/D class of snoRNA which contain the C (UGAUGA) and D (CUGA) box motifs. Z37 acts as a methylation guide for 5.8S ribosomal RNA.
Source: RNAcentral